CUGUGAACCAAUCAUUGCUUGCGACACCUGGACACAUUGCCCUUGUUGCUGUUGUGUUUGUCCUGUGCUAGUAGCCACUUUCUGCAUUACUUUCUGACCACCCAUAACCUUAAAAGGGCACCAGGCUUGGUUGGUUUGAAACAAUCUGAUUCUGAUGCUUUACUGGACCUCUUCAGUGUGAAUCUUUCGAAAUAUUUUGAAAUGAAGGAAGUUUGUUAACUUUGUUUGAAAUCUAUGGUGGAAUCAGAAACACAGAAAUGAUUCAGACGAGAGAGACAAUCGUCCAUGCCCACCAACAAUGACAGUUUUGUGAAACCCACACUCUUGCUGAAAUUUCGAGGAUUUUUGAUUUUCCAACGAGAAACUGUAUCUACAUAGAAAACUGCUUUCGCAGAAAAGCUUUUUCCUUUUAUUCAAAUCAAGAAAAACUUUGUCGAGAUAGAGGGUUACGAGAAUAUUAUAGACCCAU
Long non-coding RNA from Harmonia axyridis, 469 nucleotides. RefSeq lists it as uncharacterized. The transcript has 3 exons. Lineage: Eukaryota; Metazoa; Arthropoda; Insecta; Coleoptera; Coccinellidae. The record is from RefSeq and is a predicted model, not a curated record.